Small nucleolar RNA from Brassica oleracea var. oleracea, 87 nucleotides. It matches the Rfam family "Small nucleolar RNA SNORD25". Rfam says of the family: U25 is a member of the C/D class of snoRNA which contain the C (UGAUGA) and D (CUGA) box motifs. U25 is found in gene clusters in plants, and within the U22 snoRNA host gene (UHG) in mammals. U25 is thought to as a 2'-O-ribose methylation guide for ribosomal RNA. The record is from Rfam. NCBI's taxonomy places the organism in Eukaryota, Viridiplantae, Streptophyta, Magnoliopsida, Brassicales, Brassicaceae.
AAGAACAGUGAUGAGUCAAUUUACAGACCUGUAAUGAUUGCGGUAAUGAUCGCAUUUCAUUAUGAACAUCUAAGGGACUGAGUUCUU